RNAcentral lists this small RNA (28 nucleotides) under Bombyx mori (domestic silkworm). RNAcentral's name for it is "ovarian small RNA-22303". Lineage: Eukaryota; Metazoa; Arthropoda; Insecta; Lepidoptera; Bombycidae. The record is from RNAcentral.
UAGCAUCUGUUGAAGGGUCUUCGCGUUG